UUUCAGAGAUGAGAAUGUGCCUUCGGGAACCGUGAGACAGGUGCUGCAUGGCUGUCGUCAGCUCGUGUUGUGAAAUGUUGGGUUAAGUCCCGCAACGAGCGCAACCCUUAUCCUUUGUUGCCAGCGGUUAGGCCGGGAACUCAAAGGAGACUGCCAGUGAUAAACUGGAGGAAGGUGGGGAUGACGUCAAGUCAUCAUGGCCCUUACGACCAGGGCUACACACGUGCUACAAUGGCGCAUACAAAGAGAAGCGACCUCGCGAGAGCAAGCGGACCUCAUAAAGUGCGUCGUAGUCCGGAUUGGAGUCUGCAACUCGACUCCAUGAAGUCGGAAUCGCUAGUAAUCGUGGAUCAGAAUGCCACGGUGAAUACGUUCCCGGGCCUUGUACACACCGCCCGUCACACCAUGGGAGUGGGUUGCAAAAGAAGUAGGUAGCUUAACCUUCGGGAGGGCGCUUACCACUUUGUGAUUCAUGACUGGGGUGAAGUCGUAACAAGGUAACCGUAGGGGAACCUGCGGUUGGAUCACCUCCUUACCUGAAAGAAGC
RNAcentral lists this ribosomal RNA (547 nucleotides) under Salmonella enterica. RNAcentral's name for it is "bacterial SSU rRNA". It matches the Rfam family "Bacterial small subunit ribosomal RNA", at positions 998 to 1533 of the family's 1533-position model. RNAcentral also lists the same sequence under 1 other name. The record is from RNAcentral. Lineage: Bacteria; Pseudomonadati; Pseudomonadota; Gammaproteobacteria; Enterobacterales; Enterobacteriaceae.